This 253-nucleotide ribosomal RNA is filed under the name uncultured bacterium. RNAcentral describes it as "partial 16S ribosomal RNA". It matches the Rfam family "Bacterial small subunit ribosomal RNA", at positions 524 to 776 of the family's 1533-position model. The record is from RNAcentral.
UACGUAGGGUGCGAGCGUUAAUCGGAAUUACUGGGCGUAAAGCGCACGUAGGUGGCGACGUAAGUCGGGUGUGAAAGCCCCGGGCUCAACCUGGGAAUUGCAUUCGAGACUGCAUUGCUGGAGUACGGAAGAGGAAGGCGGAAUUCCCGGUGUAGCGGUGAAAUGCGUAGAGAUCGGCAGGAACACCCAGGGGGAAACCAGUCGACUGGGCAGCACCUGACGCUGAGGUGCGAGAGCGUGGGGAGCGAACCGG